RNAcentral lists this ribosomal RNA (433 nucleotides) under uncultured bacterium. Its description in RNAcentral is "partial 16S ribosomal RNA". It matches the Rfam family "Bacterial small subunit ribosomal RNA", at positions 29 to 507 of the family's 1533-position model. The record is from RNAcentral.
AAUGAACGCUGGCGGCAUGCCUAACACAUGCAAGUCGAACGAACCCUUCGGGUCUUGUGGCGCCCGGGUGCGUAACGCGACGGAACCUGCACUUAGGUUCGGAAUAACUCCCCGACUGGGGUGCUUAUACCGGAUAAUGUCUUAGGACCAAAGAUUUAUCGCCUCUGGUUGGGCCAGCGUUGGAUUAGCUAGUUGGUAGGGUAAUAGCCUACUAAGGCGACGAUCAAUAGCUGGGCAGAGUGGAUGAUUAGCCACACUGGGACGGAGACACGGCCCAGACUCCUACGGGAGGCAGCAGUAGGGAAUAGUAGACAAUGGGCGAAAGCCAGAACCAGCAACGCCGCGUGAGUGACGAAGGCCUUAGGGUUGUAAAUCUCUUUUACCCGGGAUGAUAAUGACAGGAACGGGAGAAUAAGCUCCCGCUAACUCCGUG